ACCCCAGGUCAGGCGGGAUUACCCGCUGAGUUUAA
RNAcentral lists this ribosomal RNA (35 nucleotides) under Ipomoea batatas (sweet potato). RNAcentral describes it as "partial 28S ribosomal RNA". Lineage: Eukaryota; Viridiplantae; Streptophyta; Magnoliopsida; Solanales; Convolvulaceae. The record is from RNAcentral. RNAcentral also lists the same sequence under 4 other names.